Molecule: ribosomal RNA, 499 nt
Filed under: uncultured bacterium
Lineage: Bacteria
Description: partial 16S ribosomal RNA
Rfam family: Bacterial small subunit ribosomal RNA
Source: RNAcentral
GACGAACGCUGGCGGCGUGCUUAACACAUGCAAGUCGAACGGGCCUGUCUUCUUUUUUGGGGGUGGGUUGAGUGGCGAACGGGUGAGUAUCACUUGAGUAACCUUCCCUUCGGUCCUGGAUAACCGCUUGAAAGGGCGGCUAAUACGGGGUGGUCCGGUUGGUCCGCAUGGGCUGGUCGGGAUAGAUUCACUGUUUUUGGUGUUUCGGCGGGGGAUGGGCUCGCGGCCUAUCAGCUUGUUGGUGGGGUGAUGGCCUACCAAGGAGGUGACGGGUAGCCGGCCUGAGAGUGUGGGCGGCGACACUGGGACUGAGAUACGGCCCAGACUCCUGCGGGAGGCAGCAGUGGGGGGUAUUGCACAAUGGGCGGAAGCCUGAUGCAGCGACGUCGCGUGAGGGAUGGAGGCCUUCGGGUUGUGAACCUCUGUUUCCGGUGGUGAAGGCCCUGUCCGUGUGGUGGGGUUGACGGUAGCCGGGGAUGAAGCGCCGGCUAACUACGUG